This is an RNA transcript of Populus nigra (black poplar), 953 nucleotides long. It is a transcript of the gene named ATP synthase small subunit 6, mitochondrial-like, with no coding region annotated. The transcript is spliced from 5 exons. The record is from RefSeq and is a predicted model, not a curated record. Lineage: Eukaryota; Viridiplantae; Streptophyta; Magnoliopsida; Malpighiales; Salicaceae.
AGUAUUCUUCAAGAGAGAAUGGAACCGUAACUGGCCUUUCCUCGUUGGCUUUGCCAUCACUGGCGCUCUCAUCACCAAAUUCUCUCUCAGCCUCACCGAGGAGGAUGCGAAGAAUUCUCCUUUCGUGCAAAGGCACAAAAAGCACUGAUGCUAAACGAACCCUGUCUAAGAUGAGCGGCCUUCUGGUGAAUUUGGAAAUGUGCUCUCCAGGUGCCAGAUCAAUGCUUAUUAUGAAGGGCAUUUAGCUUUGUUUGAGUUCAUCUUUCUCCUCUUAUUGUUUUGCAGAGUUUUUGUUUCAGUCACUUUGUGGUUAUAUAUACUGAUGACUUUUGGGUAAAAGAAAGGCUUUGUCUAGUUAUAAUUCACUGCAUGCUACUGCUGUUAGCCUCUGCAAUGUAACACUUUUAAGUGUGAAAAUAAAUGCACCAUUUGAAAAUUAUUAUUGUUUCCAUGGUUUUGUUCCAUAAAAAAAGGUUCAACUUUGGUGGUUGAUUCAGCUGUCGCUGCUGAAGGAAAUGCAUUCAAGUGCAUCGUUGAGAAAUUGCUUAGCUUUAUGGUGAACUUAUCAAUUUCAUCCAAAUUUCUCAUUCUAGGACCGUUAGACUGCAACAUGAUUUUGCCAACUCUAGAUGCUGCGACAAAAAACGACAGCAUCGAUGCUGUUGAAACUUCUGAUAGGCCAUGAAGAUAUUUUCCGGCAGUCAAUGAAUAUCAAUUAGUUAGCAGCAAAUCGAAGAGUAGUGGAUAUAUCCAAACCGUGCUUGCAAACUUGUGCUUGGAUAUUAAUACUCAAUAUAUUUUUGGUAUCUCACUGCACUUCAGACAUUCAUUGCAUGCAGAUUGUUAAGAAGUUUCCAUUCCACCUGUUAAAGAUUUCCAGAUGUUGACGGGUGUAUACCGAAAUCAUAGAAAAUAUUAUAGAGAUGUAAAUUGUUAUAAUCCAUCUUCUAUCA